UCAAGCGACUAAGUGCAUCUGGUGGAUGCCUUGGCGAUCACAGGCGAUGAAGGACGCGGUAGCCUGCGAAAAGCUACGGGGAGCUGGCAAACAAGCUUUGAUCCGUAGAUGUCCGAAUGGGGAAACCCACUCCUUUUGGAGUAUCCAUGGCUGAAUACAUAGGCCAUGCGAAGCGAACGCGGUGAACUGAAACAUCUAAGUAACCGCAGGAAAAGAAAUCAACCGAGAUUCCCAAAGUAGUGGCGAGCGAAAUGGGAUGAGCCUUGCACUCUUUAUUUGUAUUGUUAGCCGAACGCUCUGGAAAGUGCGGCCAUAGUGGGUGAUAGCCCUGUACGCGAAAGGAUCUUAGAAGUGAAAUCGAGUAGGACGGAGCACGAGAAACUUUGUCUGAACAUGGGGGGACCAUCCUCCAAGGCUAAAUACUACUGACUGACCGAUAGUGAACCAGUACCGUGAGGGAAAGGCGAAAAGAACCCCGGCGAGGGGAGUGAAAAAGAACCUGAAACCGUGUACGUACAAGCAGUGGGAGCACCCUUUGGGGUGUGACUGCGUACCUUUUGUAUAAUGGGUCAGCGACUUAUAUUCUGUAGCAAGGUUAACCGUAUAGGGGAGCCGAAGGGAAACCGAGUCUUAACUGGGCGUUAAGUUGCAGGGUAUAGACCCGAAACCCGGUGAUCUAGCCAUGGGCAGGUUGAAGGUUGGGUAACACUAACUGGAGGACCGAACCGACUAAUGUUGAAAAAUUAGCGGAUGACUUGUGGCUGGGGGUGAAAGGCCAAUCAAACCGGGAGAUAGCUGGUUCUCCCCGAAAGCUAUUUAGGUAGCGCCUCGUGAACUCAUCUUCGGGGGUAGAGCACUGUUUCGGCUAGGGGGUCAUCCCGACUUACCAACCCGAUGCAAACUGCGAAUACCGAAGAAUGUUAUCACGGGAGACACACGGCGGGUGCUAACGUCCGUCGUGAAAAGGGAAACAACCCAGACCGUCAGCUAAGGUCCCAAAGUCAUGGUUAAGUGGGAAACGAUGUGGGAAGGCUUAGACAGCUAGGAGGUUGGCUUAGAAGCAGCCAUCCUUUAAAGAAAGCGUAAUAGCUCACUAGUCGAGUCGGCCUGCGCGGAAGAUGUAACGGGGCUCAAACUGUGCACCGAAGCUGCGGAUAUCGAAAGAUAUGGUAGGGGAGCGUUCUGUAGGUCUGUGAAGGUGGUGGUGUAAACCCUGCUGGAGAUAUCAGAAGUGCGAAUGCUGACAUGAGUAGCGAUAAAGCGGGUGAAAAGCCCGCUCGCCGAAAGCCCAAGGUUUCCUACGCAACGUUCAUCGGCGUAGGGUGAGUCGGCCCCUAAGGCGAGGCAGAAAUGCGUAGCUGAUGGGAAGCAGGUCAAUAUUCCUGCACCAUUGUUAGAUGCGAUGGGGGGACGGAUCGCGGAAGGUUGUCCGGGUGUUGGAAGUCCCGGUCGCUGCAUUGGAGAAGGCGCUUAGGCAAAUCCGGGCGCGGAAUUCAAGGGUGUGGCGCGAGCUCCUUAGGGAGCGAAGCAAUUGGAAGUGGUUCCAAGAAAAGCCUCUAAGCUUCAGUCUAACGAUGACCGUACCGCAAACCGACACAGGUGGGCAGGAUGAGAAUUCUAAGGCGCUUGAGAGAACUCAGGAGAAGGAACUCGGCAAAUUGACACCGUAACUUCGGGAGAAGGUGUGCCUCUGUUGGUGUAGGACUUCGCGUCCGAAGCUGAUAGAGGUCGCAGAGAAUAGGUGGCUGCGACUGUUUAACAAAAACACAGCUCUGUGCCAACACGAAAGUGGACGUAUACGGAGUGACGCCUGCCCGGUGCUGGAAGAUUAAAUGAUGGGGUGCAAGCUCUUGAUUGAAGUCCCAGUAAACGGCGGCCGUAACGAUAACGGUCCUAAGGUAGCGAAAUUCCUUGUCGGGUAAGUUCCGACCCGCACGAAUG
RNAcentral lists this ribosomal RNA (1941 nucleotides) under Bubalus bubalis (water buffalo). Its description in RNAcentral is "bacterial LSU rRNA". It matches the Rfam family "Bacterial large subunit ribosomal RNA", at positions 3 to 1998 of the family's 2925-position model. Lineage: Eukaryota; Metazoa; Chordata; Mammalia; Artiodactyla; Bovidae. The record is from RNAcentral.